CGGCGCGCGGCGUUCGCGGCGCUGGAAGGCUCGAGGCGGCGGGCGGCCGGGGAGCGGGCGGAGGCUGGGACGCUGGGCCACGGGCGCCUCAGCGAUGUUUUACUCAGGGCUCCUCACCGAGGGCGGCCGCAAGGAGACGGACAUGCGGGAGGCGGCGUCGCUGCGGCAGCAGCGCCGGAUGAAGCAGGCGGUGCAGUUCAUCCACAAGGACUCGGCCGACCUGCUGCCCUUGGACGGCCUCAAGAAGCUGGGCUCGUCCAAGGACACGCAACCUCACAACAUUCUGCAGAGACGGCUCCUGGAAACCAACCUGUCUAAGCUGCGAAGCAGUCGUGUCCCUUGGGCCUCCAAGUCCAGCAGACUGAGUCAGGCCAAGUCGGAGGGGCUCAGGAAGUCUGAGGAGGACAUGAUCUGGGUUCCUUGCCAGUGUGCUGGAAAGGAUGUGAAAGCCUUGGUUGACACGGGCUGCCAGUACAAUCUCAUCUCUUCAGCCUGUGUGGACCGACUGGGGCUCAAGGAGCACGUCAGAUCUCACAGGCUCGAGGGAGAGAAGCUCUGUCUCCCCCGGCAUCUGAAAGUGAUGGGGCAGAUUGAGCACCUGGUGAUCACCCUGGGCUCCCUCCGCCUGGACUGCCCAGCAGCUGUGGUUGAGGACAAUGAGAAAACCUUGUCUCUUGGUCUCCAGACUCUCCGAUCUCUGAAGUGUGUCAUAAACUUGGACAAGCACCGGCUGAUCGUGGGGAAGACAGACAAGGAAGGGAUCCCUUUUGUGGAGACGGUUGCCGUGAAUGAAGACAAUGACUGCCUUCAUGUUGUGGAUCCCAUGCCUGUGCGGGGGCCAGACGUGGAAGCAUACUGUCUACGCUGCGAGUGCAAGUACGAGGAAAGAAGCUCCGUUACCAUCAAGGUCAGCCUUCGCUGCGGCUCCAGCGUCCUCACACAAACCUCCGAGUUCUUGGCUUGAAAGAGACGUAACUUGUUCGCAAUUUCCUCCAGGUCACCAUUAUAAUUUACCUCUCCAUUCUGGGCCUUCUGCUCCUGUACAUGGUGUAUCUUACUCUGGUGGAGCCCAUACUGAAGAGGCGUCUGUUUGGCCACUCUCAGCUGAUGCAGAGCGACGACGACGUUGGGGAUCACCAGCCUUUUGCAAAUGCCCACGACGUGCUGGCCCGCUCCCGCAGCCGAGCCAACGUGCUGAACAAGGUGGAGUACGCCCAGCAGCGCUGGAAGCUUCAGGUUCAAGAGCAGCGAAAAUCCGUCUUUGACCGUCACGUUGUCCUCAGCUAAGUGGGAACCGCGUUCAAGGCGACUGGAAGAAAUGAGGCAGACGGUGGGGAAAGCUGACUGUUUCCCGGGCUUUGGUUUUCAUACCCUGUUGAUUUCACCAGCUCUUGCUGGAAAAUUCAAAACUGGAAACAAAACCGUGCGUGGUCGUUUCUUUUCUCGUUCAUGUAUCACUGGAGACAUCUGAAAAGCACACACCUCAGACAGAGUCGGCCACCAGGCCUUUCCCAUCCGCGACUCUUUCUGAUAAGUCUGCCUGCAGAUCAUCUUGACGUCCUUCACCUGGAGAAAGCACCCUCUUUGACCACAAAGUUUUAACUUGGUUUUCAAGAUAAUUUUCAGGCGGAGUUUCUGCGCGGUGUCUUUUGGUUUGGUUUUUGGCAGGGGAGGGAGGGGUGCGUGGGACAUGCUGACCGUAACUUUUCUCAAGUCGCUUUACUGAACAAACUUUUGUACGUAGACGUUGCCUUUGUUUCCAAGUUUCGCCUGCAUCUCGCGGCGGAGCGAGCCUGCUCCGAGCCCCGACUCACCCGUCGGAGUUGUGCGCUGUGUUAGCUGGACAUCUGGUUGGCUGGGGCUGCACCUCAUGCUGAACUGGAUCUGAAAUGCCUGGUGGCUUUUCGCAAGAUGCAGAUUUUCUUUAUACUGCGGUGUCUGAUGCAAUGCAUCCUGGAACAAACUGGCCAUCUGCUUUACUUUAAUGACCAGUCUCGGUUGUGAGCAGUCUCGUCUUCCUCUGGUAUCUUUAAGGAUGAAUCCUAAGGACGUGGACGCUUGCAAUAAAGACACGUUCCUUUAAGCCCGAGCCUCUCCGAAUUGAAGACACACGCCUACUUGUCAGCAUCCCAGUCAGGCUGGGAGGCCGCUCCUUGAGCUCCAGUGUGUGCAGCUCUGAUGGACGACUGGAGUCCUGGCUGCCUCCCUUGGGGAAAAAAAGGUGUAACAGUUAGUGAAUAACUGGCUUUUUCCUCCUAUGUCCUCUUUGAAAUGUAACAAUAAAAAUGAUUUUUGAAACGCCUA
Sus scrofa (pig) is the source of this 2304-nucleotide non-coding RNA. Lineage: Eukaryota; Metazoa; Chordata; Mammalia; Artiodactyla; Suidae. The record is from RefSeq and is a predicted model, not a curated record.